CCAAAUACAAGAUUUAAAGCUGGGAUAAUCACGGGGGAUGUAAACGGUAACUUGACGGAAGCCGCGGAUUGGAUCACAAAACUCCUGAACUGAUUUCUACCCCCGAUUUCGCUUGGGGUUUUCCUGAUUUUCUCCCGAUUUCGCAUGAUUCCAAAUUUUUCUAAUACGGUUUUGGUCAGUACGGGAGCAAAGUUUCAUCCACAGCGGGGACACAAGUUUCCCUGCGCUGAUCUUCUUCCGUCUGCCUUCCUG
RNAcentral lists this long non-coding RNA (252 nucleotides) under Setaria viridis. RNAcentral's name for it is "long non-coding RNA (SVIR_LNC001313)". The record is from RNAcentral. Lineage: Eukaryota; Viridiplantae; Streptophyta; Magnoliopsida; Poales; Poaceae.